ACUAUAGAAAAUAUGUUUUUUAUUCCAUAGCAUCAUGAAUACAAUCCGAUGGAUACCCGAUCCAAGUUUUAUAUAACAUGUCCAUUAGCCAAGCAUCUCACCCACACCACCAUGUACUCCUCCCUUGAUUGCAUGCAUUCGUUUACCUCCUUAGCGAUAGGGCCAUAGAUUGAUCUAUCAAUAUCUCAGUUUCUUAACUUAGAAGUCGCUAUCUUUUGUGUCUAUCUCCAGGAUAAGUUUUGCCACUUCUAAUUUACGUGUAAGCUGAGCAACCCAUCGACAUGCCACGAGUUCAGCCAAUUCAGGGCCCAUGGUGAAGGAGAAAAAUGGCAUGUGCCCCC
This 341-nucleotide long non-coding RNA is filed under the name Hordeum vulgare. RNAcentral's name for it is "long non-coding RNA (HVUL_LNC006532)". The record is from RNAcentral. Lineage: Eukaryota; Viridiplantae; Streptophyta; Magnoliopsida; Poales; Poaceae.